CAGCCGUAAACUAUGCUCGCUAGGUGUCAGGCAUGGCGCGACCGUGUCUGGUGCCGCAGGGAAGCCGUGAAGCGAGCCACCUGGGAAGUACGGCCGCAAGGCUGAAACUUAAAGGAAUUGGCGGGGGAGCACAACAACGGGUGGAGCCUGCGGUUUAAUUGGACUCAACGCCGGACAACUCACCGGGGACGACAGCAAUAUGUAGGCCAGGCUGAAGACCCUGCCUGAAUCGCUGAGAGGAGGUGCAUGGCGUAGACGU
RNAcentral lists this ribosomal RNA (259 nucleotides) under uncultured archaeon. Its description in RNAcentral is "partial 16S ribosomal RNA". It matches the Rfam family "Archaeal small subunit ribosomal RNA", at positions 748 to 1007 of the family's 1478-position model. The record is from RNAcentral.